RNAcentral lists this ribosomal RNA (468 nucleotides) under uncultured bacterium. RNAcentral describes it as "partial 16S ribosomal RNA". It matches the Rfam family "Bacterial small subunit ribosomal RNA", at positions 28 to 507 of the family's 1533-position model. The record is from RNAcentral.
GACGAACGCUGGCGGCGGGCUUAACACAUGCAAGUCGAACGGAAAGGCCCUGCUUUUGUGGGGUGCUCGAGUGGCGAACGGGUGAGUAACACGUGAGUAACCUGCCCUUGACUUUGGGAUAGCUUCAGGAAACGGGGGCUAAUACCGGAUAGGAGCCCCUGCUGCAUGGUGGGGGUUGGAAAGUUUCGGCGGUUGGGGAUGGACGCGCGGCUUAUCAGCUUGUUGGUGGGGUAGUGGCUUACCAAGGCUUUGACGGGUAGCCGGCCUGAGAGGGUGACCGGCCACAUUGGGCCUGCGAGACGGCCCAGACUCCUACGGGAGGCAGCAGUGGGGAAUCUUGCCCAAUGGGCGGGAGCCUGAUGCAGCAACGCCGCGUGCGGGAUGCCGGCCUUCGGGUUGUAAACCGCUUUCGCCUGUGACGAAGCGUGAGUGACGGUAAUGGGUAAAGAAGCACCGGCUAACUACGUG